RNAcentral lists this long non-coding RNA (1624 nucleotides) under Cricetulus griseus (Chinese hamster). Its description in RNAcentral is "lncRNA (ENSCGRG00015037994.1)". Lineage: Eukaryota; Metazoa; Chordata; Mammalia; Rodentia; Cricetidae. The record is from RNAcentral.
GCAUUUUUACAAAUCUCUUUCUCAGUUGGUAGAUAUUGCACUCGCUUCUACCUUGCAGAAAUAUGAUAAUAAUGCUAUGAACAUUAGCACAUAAGUACUUGUAAGAAUGCUUAUUUUCAUUCUUUUCUAGUAUACACCAAGGAGUGGAAUUUCCCAGAGUAUUGAAGCUGAUGUGCAUAAUCAUGCCUAAACAAAGCAGUGUGCAGCAGGAAAGAACAGCCGGCCAUUUAAGAGAAUCCAUCAGCAGCAGACAUUGGCACGGAGCUUUCUCUUUGGUGAACUGUCUUAAGAUCUCCAAGACGUUCGGACUACUCUCAAAAAUCGAAUUCUUUACUACCUCAACUGGAGUUUUGCUGCAGGAGAUGAAACAAAACAAAGCAAAACUUUUAAUGGAAAGCUUUUGAAUUGGCCAUGAUAGUGUAACUCAAAUGCAAAGAGGAAGGGGAUGUUCUUAACAUACAACCAAGUACACACAGGUUUAUGCACAGACACAAUUCACACUUGAAAUUUUAACUUCUGAGUCAUGAACUCAUUUAACAAAUAUUUAUUUGACAUGCAAUAGACACUUUUUAUAUCAGUUCCCCUCUUCUCCACAUGCAUAUAGCAAUACAAUCCUACUGAAUGAUCGAUUUGAUGCCACUCUCUAUGUACCUGUCUGUACACCUCUCCUUCUCUCCUUCAACUCCAGCCCUACACUUGUGUUUUCUUCUGCCUCUCUGUCUUUCGAUAUAUUAUACUUGGACAAUAUUACAUUAUUUGAACAGUUUCAAUUGUGUUUUCUCAAAUGCUGUUAUUCCAUACAAAUUCCAAUUCCAAUAUAAUGAAGGUUAUGCCAAUGUAGUGAUGUCAACCUCAGAUUUUAGAAUAUUUUGUGAAGUGUCUAAAAUAAUGGACAGGAGAGCUCAUGUUACCUGUUAUAUAAGUAAGAGCUGAGGAAGACAAGAAGACAUAUUUCUAAGCACUUUGUAUUUAUGAAGCAAUACAGAAAGUUGUGAAACAAACCAGUGCACAAAAAAAAUCUCGUAUGAAUGGGGGAAGGUGGUAGAAAAUGUGUGGAUGGGACAGGAUAAUUAAUAAACUAAAAUUUAGAUGUAAGAGAAUUAAAAUAUAAUGGAGAGGAAUUACAGAGAAUAUUGACAACUCUUUCAGUAGAUGUUCCUGAAAAAAGAUAUAAAGUUUCAUUGAUCAAGGUUUAUAAUUCCCAUGAUCUUCAGCAAAUUUAAUAUUUAAGUCUUACAGUCUACCAGACUCAUUAAUGUUUAAAUACUGUACAGUAGCAUUGUCCAAAAUAAAAAUAAAAAUAUGACAUAAGCCUCAUGUACAAAGAAAGCUAUUUAGCUACUUGAAUAAAGUAAAAAUGAAAAUGAAAUUAAAAGUAUGCUUCACUUGAAGAAGUAUUUUAAAAAGCAUGGGAGGCAGGCCAGUCUCUGCAAGUUUGAUAACCUGGUCUACAUACGAAGUUUCAGGCCAGCCAGGGCUACACAACAAGACCCUGUCUCAUAAAGUUAUUCAUAAUAUAUUUGACAUUCAUUUUUAUAUUAAUUUGAUGUAUAAUUUAUAUUAAUUUGAUGUAUAAUUUACUGGUAACACAUAUCACUUGAGCUACUAACUUGUCAUAUGAAAA